GACGAACGCUGGCGGCGUGCCUAACACAUGCAAGUCGAACGAGGUCCAAGGAAGCUUGCUUCCUGAAGACCUAGUGGCGAACGGGUGAGUAACACGUGAGAAACCUGCCUCGGAGUGGGGAAUAACUCGGGGAAACUCGAGCUAAUACCGCAUACCUUCACAUGAUCGCAUGGUCGAGUGAAGAAAGAAUUUCGCUCUGAGAGGGUCUCGCGGCCUAUCAGCUUGUUGGUGGGGUAACGCCUACCAAGGCAACGACGGGUAGCUGGUUUGAGAGAACGAUCAGCCACACUGGGACUGAGACACGGCCCAGACUCCUACGGGAGGCAGCAGUGGGGAAUCUUGCGCAAUGGGCGAAAGCCUGACGCAGCAACGCCGCGUGCGGGAUGACGGCCUUCGUGGUUGUAAACCGCUUUCAGCAGGGACGAAAUGACGGUACCUGCAGAAGAAGACCCCGGCUAACUACGUGCCAGCAGCCGCGGUAAU
RNAcentral lists this ribosomal RNA (483 nucleotides) under uncultured bacterium. RNAcentral describes it as "bacterial SSU rRNA". It matches the Rfam family "Bacterial small subunit ribosomal RNA", at positions 28 to 524 of the family's 1533-position model. The record is from RNAcentral.